This 63-nucleotide transfer RNA is filed under the name Glomeridesmus spelaeus. RNAcentral describes it as "tRNA-Ala". The record is from RNAcentral. Lineage: Eukaryota; Metazoa; Arthropoda; Diplopoda; Glomeridesmida; Glomeridesmidae.
AGGUUAAUAAUUAAUUUAUAAUACCUAUUUUGCAUAUAGGAAUUGCCAUAAAAGCUUAAUCUA